Molecule: ribosomal RNA, 253 nt
Filed under: uncultured bacterium
Lineage: Bacteria
Description: partial 16S ribosomal RNA
Rfam family: Bacterial small subunit ribosomal RNA
Source: RNAcentral
UACAGAGGUCUCAAGCGUUGUUCGGAUUCAUUGGGCGUAAAGGGUGUGUAGGUGGCGCUGUAAGUCGGGUGUGAAAUCUCGGGGCUUAACUCCGAAACUGCAUUCGAUACUGCGGUGCUUGAGGACUGGAGAGGAGACUGGAAUUCAUGGUGUAGCAGUGAAAUGCGUACAGAUCAUGAGGAAGACCAGUGGCGAAGGCGGGUCUCUGGACAGUUCCUGACACUGAGACACGAAGGCCAGGGGAGCAAACGGG